GAGGUUUAGCUCAGUUGGGAGAGCGUCUGCCUUACAAGCAGAGGGUCGGGGGUUCGAGUCCCUCAACCUCC
This 71-nucleotide transfer RNA is filed under the name mouse gut metagenome. It matches the Rfam family "tRNA". Rfam says of the family: Transfer RNA (tRNA) molecules are approximately 80 nucleotides in length. Their secondary structure includes four short double-helical elements and three loops (D, anti-codon, and T loops). RNAcentral also lists the same sequence under 1 other name. The record is from RNAcentral.